Molecule: non-coding RNA, 76 nt
Organism: Araneus ventricosus
Lineage: Eukaryota; Metazoa; Arthropoda; Arachnida; Araneae; Araneidae
Source: the annotation of a GenBank genome assembly
UGGCCCAUGCUGGGGGUAUCGAAACCACGACCUUCGCGCUAUUAGCACGACGCUCUAACCAACUGAGCUAAUGGCC